Molecule: ribosomal RNA, 359 nt
Filed under: uncultured bacterium
Lineage: Bacteria
Description: bacterial SSU rRNA
Rfam family: Bacterial small subunit ribosomal RNA
Source: RNAcentral
AUUGAACGCUGGCGGCAUGCUUUACACAUGCAAGUCGAGCGGCAGCGCGGGUUCAGGCAACUGAGCCCUGGCGGCGAGCGGCGAACGGGUGAGUAAUACAUCGGAACGUACCCAGGAGUGGGGGAUAGCCCGGCGAAAGCCGGAUUAAUACCGCAUACGAUCUGUGAUGAAAGGUGGGGACCUAAGGGCAACUGAGGGCCUCACGUCUUUUGGAGCGGCCGAUGUCCGAUUAGCUAGUUGGUGGGGUAAAGGCCUACCAAGGCGACGAUCGGUAGCUGGUCUGAGAGGAUGAUCAGCCACACUGGGACUGAGACACGGCCCAGACUCCUACGGAGGCAGCAGUGGGAAUUUUGGACAAU